This 254-nucleotide ribosomal RNA is filed under the name uncultured bacterium. RNAcentral describes it as "partial 16S ribosomal RNA". It matches the Rfam family "Bacterial small subunit ribosomal RNA", at positions 524 to 776 of the family's 1533-position model. The record is from RNAcentral.
UACGUAGGGUGCGAGCGUUGUCCGGAAUUAUUGGGCGUAAAGAGCUUGUAGGCGGUUUGUCGCGUCUGCCGUGAAAGCCCAGGGCUUAACCCUGGGUCUGCGGUGGGUACGGGCAGACUAGAGUUCGGUAGGGGAGUCGUGGAAUUCCUGGUGUAGCGGUGAAAUGCGCAGAUAUCAGGAAGAACACCCGUGGCGAAGGCGGCUCUCUGGUACGUGACUGACGCUGAGACGCGAAAGCGUGGGGAGCAAACAGG